RNAcentral lists this small RNA (584 nucleotides) under Pongo abelii (Sumatran orangutan). RNAcentral's name for it is "processed transcript". The record is from RNAcentral. Lineage: Eukaryota; Metazoa; Chordata; Mammalia; Primates; Hominidae.
CAUUGACUCCAAAUGGAUUUUUUAAAAAAUAACAACAACAAUAAUAAUAAUGUGAUUUUUUUUUUCAAGCGUUUCUGUUCAGGUAGAGAAUUAGAGAAGUUUCUCUCUUCUCCUUCUCCAAGAGCCAUCUGGCUGGAUAGCUUUUGGUGGAUAUUUCAUGAGAGGUACCAGCCAAACAAGGAGCUCCAGAAUAAUCUGUUUGACCGGAUAGCCCAGCACUAUGCCUUACUUUUGUUUCGUGUACCCAAGUCCCACUAUGAAGAGGCGCUCUUAAAAAGGCUGCCAUCACUUCUGAGCAAAGCUGUGUACACCAGCUUCUGUUGCUGCUUCCCACAGUCCUGGUUCAACACGCACGAAUUCAAGUCUGACAUCUGUAACACAAUGAGCCUGUGGAUUUCAGGCACCUAUCCUAGCCCACAGAGCUAUGACAGCUGGGACUACUCGGAACUAGACCCAGAGCGAUUCCGCAGAGAAGAAUUAAUGUUAUACAGAAGAAGACUGACAAAGGGGAAAGAGUUUUCUUCGUUUGCUGGUAAGAGAGCCUUCUCCCAGAAGCCAGCCCAGAGCAGGAAAUUCUGCCACCC